RNAcentral lists this ribosomal RNA (332 nucleotides) under Etisus laevimanus. RNAcentral's name for it is "partial large subunit ribosomal RNA". The record is from RNAcentral. Lineage: Eukaryota; Metazoa; Arthropoda; Malacostraca; Decapoda; Xanthidae.
AUUAAUAGAUAUGUUCUUUAAAAUUGAAGAGUGUGGCGGUAGCUUAAUCUUAUUAGAGGAACCUGUUUUUAUAAUUCGAUACACCCCGUAAAAUCUUACUCACUUUAUUUAGUUUAUAUACCGUCAUUAUCAGAUGGUUUUUGAAAAAUUAAUCAUUAAAGUUUAAAGUAAAUAUAAGUUAAAUUAGAUCAAGGUGUAGCUUAUAAGUGAGUUAAAAUGGGUUACAAUAAAAUUUAUUUACUACGGAGUGAUUAUAGGAAGAUUUAUCAUAAAGGAGGAUUUAAUUGUAAUUAGAGUUUAACAUGUUUUAAAGAAAUAAAGCACUAAGCUAU